AGCCUCAUCACUACCAGGUGACUGAGGGCCCCGCGGACACAGGGCUCCUCCCCCGCGUGUCCGCGCGUCCACGGAUGAACCACGCGCCGUGGCCCAGGGGAGAGGAAAGCACUCCGUUCCCGGCAGGCGGCGGCCUGUCUGCUGGGAGAGAAUCAUCAUGACGAUCCUUGAAACUGAGAACAAGCCAAGAUGAUGAUAAAAAAAAAAUAGGGAAUAUGAGAGUGGAGCUCAGAAAAGAAAAAAAAAGCUGAAAAGAGAAAAGAAAAAUCUUCAGAGAAAUGGACUUUGUUGAGUUUUUAAGACCUGGAAACAUUGUCAGUGGGCACGUUUGCAUGUCCAAAUGCACUCAUGCCAUUACUAACACCGAUGAAAGAAAACCGGAUACAGCGACUAGUCCAGGUACCCAACAAAGGUUUCUUUCUGUGGCCCAACCCAUCCCCUGCACAUUUCCAGAAGAGGGAACGCAAAAGGGAAAAGAAUGAAGCCUCUACAACUGCCUCGGGGCUUUCAUCCCAGCACAUCUGAGCCACAUCCUAAGCAGACAGCAUUUACAAGGGAAGCUUAAAGUGGAGACUGUAUUCCACUGCAUGUUAACAAACAGUUUUGUUAUUUCUCUAACAACACGUGCAAGGUCACCUUGAAGUUAUGGAAUGGAGAGUGUGUGAGUUUCCCAUUUUUAUUUUUCGAGAUGUGCCACAAGGCUGGCCUAGGCCGGGAUUGGGCGCAGAACGCAGAGAGAAGUAGAAACCACUUGUCUCUUGAAGUUUGCCUGCUGGUCUCCUAGCAACCGGCUCCUUGUUGGAGGCACAGCUGAGGUGUCUGGGGACCCAGAAUGUGAAGAGGCACAUAUUCGCUUUUCCACCAGAUAGUGAAUUUUUUUGUAAUUGUUACAAAUACUCCAUUUAAGCGACAGUGGAUCUCCUGCUGGCUUUCCAGGUGGAGGAGAGAGACAAAGACCUGCCAGGCUGGCAUUGAAGUCCCUGGAGCCUCACCAUAGAACAGGCAUAGACUGGAAGUACACCGUGUCUCACCAAACUCUGACCCAACUGGUAUCAAAGCCCUGGUUCCGCUCAGUCUCCAAGGAACGGUCUCCCGCCUGAUGCCUGGCAGAGGAGAGGGGAAGCGUCAGAUGGAGCCUUUACAGUCUUUUCUCAAAAUGCCUGGCAUACAAUAAAAAUUAUCAAACAUG
This is a long non-coding RNA of Myotis lucifugus (little brown bat), 1189 nucleotides long. RefSeq lists it as uncharacterized. The record is from RefSeq and is a predicted model, not a curated record. Lineage: Eukaryota; Metazoa; Chordata; Mammalia; Chiroptera; Vespertilionidae. The transcript is spliced from 3 exons.